AGAGUUUGAUCCUGGCUCAGGACGAACGCUGGCGGCGUGCCUAAUACAUGCAAGUCGAGCGAAGUUAAGGGAGCUUGCUCCCAAGACUUAGCGGCGGACGGGUGAGUAACACGUGGGUAACCUACCUGUAAGACCGGGAUAACUCCGGGAAACCGGAGCUAAUACCAGAUAAUCAACUGAGUUGCAUAACAAAGUUGUGAAAGAUGGCGCAAGCUAUCACUUACAGAUGGGCCCGCGG
Molecule: ribosomal RNA, 238 nt
Filed under: uncultured bacterium
Lineage: Bacteria
Description: partial 16S ribosomal RNA
Rfam family: Bacterial small subunit ribosomal RNA
Source: RNAcentral